AUCCUUCUGUGGGUCAUAAAUGCAAGGAUUGGGUUUCACUGUUGCAUGAAAUAUGCCUCCCUUGAACCUUGUUAAAAUAUUGGCACAGUACUGGUCUGACC
This is a small nucleolar RNA of Tupaia belangeri (northern tree shrew), 101 nucleotides long. NCBI's taxonomy places the organism in Eukaryota, Metazoa, Chordata, Mammalia, Scandentia, Tupaiidae. The record is from Ensembl.